CCGAGUUUACAAACUCCCAAACCCACUGUGAACCUUACCAGACGUUGCUUCGGCGGGCUCGCCCCCGGGGACUGCCGCGAGGCGCCCCAGGGGACCAAACGCGCCCGCCGGGGGACCCAAACUCUCCUGUUUAUCGCCCGCCGCGGCGCCUGUAGAAUCUUCUGAGCAGCCCCCUCGCGGGGGCGUCAAAACAAAAAAUGAAUCA
RNAcentral lists this unclassified non-coding RNA (205 nucleotides) under uncultured Hypocreales. Its description in RNAcentral is "sequence contains ITS1". The record is from RNAcentral. Lineage: Eukaryota; Fungi; Ascomycota; Sordariomycetes; Hypocreales.